This 1295-nucleotide long non-coding RNA is filed under the name Vombatus ursinus (common wombat). RNAcentral describes it as "lncRNA (ENSVURG00010009836.1)". Lineage: Eukaryota; Metazoa; Chordata; Mammalia; Diprotodontia; Vombatidae. The record is from RNAcentral.
AGAGAGAUUAGAUAAUAUAUUGUAAUUUCAUCACGGUGUUGUGACUUUGCCCAGCAGUGUUCAUCAGUGGUGGAGUUCUAAGGGAUGUUUCCACAUGGGGACGGAGAUCCAAGAGCUGAUGAAGAGAUCCAUGGACAGGAGACUGAAGGAAGCCCUGGGAAGGACAAGGGAGCUGUUUGGACACCAGAAGAGCCUUCUCGUUUUCCAGUGUUGUGGAAUCGAUUUCCAGAGUGUUUCCAUUUCCUGUGAUAAAAGAAAGGUGUUUCCAGGACUCCAGCAGCUGGACAUCCCCUAACAUGCCAGGCAGGAGCCUUGCAGAUAAGUAUGCCAAACUUACCAGCCUCCUGUCUCUAGUCUUUUUGGCUCUGAGAAAGGCUAGCAUGGGAUAGGUGCUUAGUAAAUGUUCAUGUUGAGUGGGAUUGAAUAGAAUAUAGAGAAGGCAGAGUCAUAGGAUCUUGGGUCAGGAAGGAAACUUGAGAGGUCAUCUCCAUUGCUUUGCCUCUAGGUGGCAUUCCCGAGAGAUGAGAGACCAUCUCCUUUGUUUUGGAGGGUCCCAGAGGACCUGGUCCAACUCUCAUUCCAGGAUCUCUUUAGUUCCAAGCUCAAUUUCUCAUGUUGGGUCAAAGGUAUUGAGAUCCUGUUUGUUCUUGGAGUGUGGAAGCUGAGUAACCCUGUUGACUGAGGUUCUUAUACUCUUGUUUCCGCUGUGACUUUGGUCAGACCCUGAGGAUUUGAUGUCCCUUUCCUUAUAUUCAACAAAUAUUGCUAGCCAACAUACACUUUAUGUAAACCCUUAGGUAAAAGUCAUCUUAUUUUGGCUUUGCAUACAAUGUAGCACAAUGUCUGUGGCAGAUAACAAUACAGGCUAUAUCUGGACCUCAAUUUCCUUAUCUGCAACAUGAGGCAGUUGGACUAGAUGACCUUUAAAAUCCUUCCUAGUUCUAGAACUCUGAUGAUCAUAGCCAAGUAUACUUGUUCCCAAGACUAGAUCCGGGAUAGAAUCUCCACUCUCCUUCACAGCUGUGUAACCAGGAACCAUAGGACAUCUUGGGGGAUAGAAACUUGUAUAUGGCCUGACCCCUCUGAUCUACUUUUCACAUAGACUUAGAGCUUUCUUAGAUUCUGUUGCAAUGUGAGAAGGAUGCACAGAAUUAUAGACUGUCAGAGCUGGGAGACACCUUAGAUUACAGAGUAUCAGAUGUGCGAGGAAGCUUAGUAUAAGGGAUAUCAGGGCUGGGAGGGCCCUCAGAACAAAGAAUGUCAGAGCUAGGAAGGCACUUAGAACAAAGAAUGCA